Molecule: ribosomal RNA, 430 nt
Filed under: bacterium
Lineage: Bacteria
Description: partial 16S ribosomal RNA
Rfam family: Bacterial small subunit ribosomal RNA
Source: RNAcentral
UGGGGAAUAUUGGACAAUGGGCGAAAGCCUGAUCCAGCCAUGCCGCGUGUGUGAAGAAGGCCUUUUGGUUGUAAAGCACUUUAAGCGAGGAGGAGGCUACUUAGAUUAAUACUCUAGGAUAGUGGACGUUACUCGCAGAAUAAGCACCGGCUAACUCUGUGCCAGCAGCCGCGGUAAUACAGAGGGUGCGAGCGUUAAUCGGAUUUACUGGGCGUAAAGCGUGCGUAGGCGGCUUUUUAAGUCGGAUGUGAAAUCCCUGAGCUUAACUUAGGAAUUGCAUUCGAUACUGGGAAGCUAGAGUAUGGGAGAGGAUGGUAGAAUUCCAGGUGGAGCGGUGAAAUGCGUAGAGAUCUGGAGGAAUACCGAUGGCGAAGGCAGCCAUCUGGCCUAAUACUGACGCUGAGGUACGAAAGCAUGGGGAGCAAACAGG